This 25-nucleotide unclassified non-coding RNA is filed under the name Mus musculus (house mouse). RNAcentral describes it as "oocyte_clustered_small_RNA2090". Lineage: Eukaryota; Metazoa; Chordata; Mammalia; Rodentia; Muridae. The record is from RNAcentral.
UGGAAUCCAGGUGCCACUUGGUCAG